This 253-nucleotide ribosomal RNA is filed under the name uncultured bacterium. RNAcentral's name for it is "partial 16S ribosomal RNA". It matches the Rfam family "Bacterial small subunit ribosomal RNA", at positions 524 to 776 of the family's 1533-position model. The record is from RNAcentral.
UACGUAGGCAGCAAGCGUUGUUCGGAGUUACUGGGCGUAAAGGGUGCGUAGGCGGUCCUAUAAGUAUGGUGUGAAAUCUCCCGGCUUAACUGGGAGGGUGCGCUAUAGACUGUGGGACUAGAGUGUGGGAGAGGAAAGUGGAAUUCCUGGUGUAGCGGUGAAAUGCGCAGAUAUCAGGAAGAACACCCGUGGCGAAAGCGGCUCUCUGGGACGGUACUGACGCUGAGACGCGAAAGCGUGGGGAGCGAACAGG